This 445-nucleotide small RNA is filed under the name Klebsiella sp. RIT-PI-d. RNAcentral describes it as "cspA thermoregulator". It matches the Rfam family "cspA thermoregulator". The record is from Rfam by way of RNAcentral. Lineage: Bacteria; Pseudomonadati; Pseudomonadota; Gammaproteobacteria; Enterobacterales; Enterobacteriaceae.
AGCGGUUUGGAACACAGACCUUAUGAAAGCAGUUUUAGUAAAGCAGUCCUCAGUUCAAGUGUUAUCCACAGAUACUCUUCUUCAUGAGCCUCCUCCUAAGUGCCAAAUAAGUAACUCUAAAUACAGGCCAUCACAGUCACAUCAGUGGCUCAUCAAUUAAGGAACGUAUCUAUGUCUAAUAAAAUGACUGGUUUAGUAAAAUGGUUUAACUCUGAUAAAGGCUUUGGUUUUAUCACGCCUGACGACGGCAGCAAAGAUGUAUUCGUACACUUCUCUGCAAUUCAGAGCGACAGCUAUAAAACGCUGGAUGAAGGACAGAAAGUCUCCUUCACCAUUGAAAGCGGCGCUAAAGGCCCGGCUGCAGGUAAUGUUACCGCGCUGUAAGCCACGCUUAUUAUCAGCGAUGCUUACAAUAGCGAUGAAGGCAACAGCCUGAGCAGUUAAC